GGUAACGGCUUACCAAGGCUAAGACGGGUAGCUGGUCUGAGAGGACGACCAGCCACACUGGAACUGAGACACGGUCCAGACACCCACGGGUGGCAGCAGUCGAGAAUUUUUCACAAUGGGCGCAAGCCUGAUGGAGCGACGCCGCGUGGGGGAUGAAUGGCUUCGGCCCGUAAACCCCUGUCAUUUGCGAUCAACCGUUAUUAUUUAAAAGAUGAUGACCUGAUAGUAGCGAAAGAGGAAGGGACGGCUAACUCUGUGCCAGCAGCCGCGGUAAUACAGAGGUCCCAAGCGUUGUUCGGAUUCACUGGGCGUAAAGGGUGCGUAGGUGGCGGAGUAAGUCGGAUGUGAAAUCUCCGAGCUCAACUCGGAAACUGCAUUGGAAACUACUCUGCUCGAGGGUUGGAGGGGGGGACUGGAAUACUUGGUGUAGCAGUGAAAUGCGUAGAUAUCAAGUGGAACACCAGUGGCGAAAGGCGAGUCCCUGGACAACUCCUGACACUGAGGCACGAAAGCUAGGGGAGCAAACAGGAUUAGAUACCCUGGUAGUCCUAGCCGUAAACGGUGCAUGUUUGCUGUAAAAGGAAUCGACCCCUUUUGUGGCGUAGCCAACGCGUUAAACAUGCCGCCUGGGAAGUACGGUCGCAGAUUAA
This 650-nucleotide ribosomal RNA is filed under the name uncultured bacterium. RNAcentral's name for it is "bacterial SSU rRNA". It matches the Rfam family "Bacterial small subunit ribosomal RNA", at positions 256 to 897 of the family's 1533-position model. The record is from RNAcentral.